AUUGAACGCUGGCGGCAUGCCUUACACAUGCAAGUCGAACGGUAACAGGUCUUCGGAUGCUGACGAGUGGCGAACGGGUGAGUAAUACAUCGGAACGUGCCCAGGCGUGGGGGAUAACGAGGCGAAAGCUUUGCUAAUACCGCAUACGAUCUAAGGAUGAAAGCAGGGGACCGCAAGGCCUUGCGCGUUUGGAGCGGCCGAUGGCAGAUUAGGUAGUUGGUGGGAUAAAAGCUUACCAAGCCGACGAUCUGUAGCUGGUCUGAGAGGACGACCAGCCACACUGGGACUGAGACACGGCCCAGACUCCUACGGGAGGCAGCAGUGGGGAAUUUUGGACAAUGGGCGAAAGCCUGAUCCAGCAAUGCCGCGUGCAGGAUGAAGGCCUUCGGGUUGUAAACUGCUUUUGUACGGAACGAAAAGGCUCUGGUUAAUACCUGGGGCACAUGACGGUACCGUAAGAAUAAGCACCGGCUAACUACGUGCCAGCAGCCGCGGUAAUACGUAGGGUGCGAGCGUUAAUCGGAAUUACUGGGCGUAAAGCGUGCGCAGGCGGUUUUGUAAGACAGAGGUGAAAUCCCCGGGCUCAACCUGGGAACUGCCUUUGUGACUGCAAAGCUGGAGUGCGGCAGAGGGGGAUGGAAUUCCGCGUGUAGCAGUGAAAUGCGUAGAUAUGCGGAGGAACACCGAUGGCGAAGGCAAUCCCCUGGGCCUGCACUGACGCUCAUGCACGAAAGCGUGGGGAGCAAACAGG
This 751-nucleotide ribosomal RNA is filed under the name uncultured Comamonadaceae bacterium. Its description in RNAcentral is "bacterial SSU rRNA". It matches the Rfam family "Bacterial small subunit ribosomal RNA", at positions 28 to 776 of the family's 1533-position model. Lineage: Bacteria; Pseudomonadati; Pseudomonadota; Betaproteobacteria; Burkholderiales; Comamonadaceae. The record is from RNAcentral.